Molecule: long non-coding RNA, 633 nt
Organism: Carassius auratus (goldfish)
Lineage: Eukaryota; Metazoa; Chordata; Actinopteri; Cypriniformes; Cyprinidae
Exons: 4
Source: RefSeq, a predicted model, not a curated record
ACACUUCUCUAUUAUGCCAUUCCAGACUCUGUCUAUGAAACAAAGUCAAGUAGCAGAGUCUGGUAUUACCAGGCUAAGGAUGACAUAAUAGACACAGUUCAUUUGCCUGGAUAAAGCAAUAAACUAAACUUUUUUUUGAGUCCAUUAUAUAAUAAGUUUAUUGUGGAUUUUAGAUUAUCAAGGAACAGUGCAGACUAAUGUAUUUUUAAAUAUGUUGGUUUAAUUUCCAAUCAUGUUGUUUCUGACAGCACUUGAGAAAUAUUGCUGUUAUUAUAUAAUAAUAUAAUCCCUCACUGGUGUUGUCUUUUCUUAAAUAAUAUCUCUUUCUCUUGUUUGUUCCCUAUGUUAUACAUCCAGCAAGGCAAAGUGCCGUGUCUUAUGGAGCUAAACUCUGAUGUUUAACAAAGCACCGUAAUGAGUGGGAAAGUCUGGAUAUUGAUCACUGCAGUUUCAUUAAUCACCCAUGUUUACCAUGUCCAGUCCAAGUGUAUGGACCGAGACAUCAAGGCACAUCUGGAUGAGUGGUUGUUGAAAGAGCACGUGUUUCUGAUGAAGGUGUUCUCGCCUGAAAUGAAGGAACAUGCGCUUCUAUCAGUGAUAAAUACCCUGUGUUUCAUACUGGAUAAAUAAUAA